AACGAACGCUGGCGGCAUGCCUAACACAUGCAAGUCGAACGAGACCUUCGGGUCUAGUUGCGCACGGGUGCGUAACGCGUGGGAACCUGCCUUUAGGUUCGGAAUAACUCAGAGACAUUUGAGCUAAUACCGGAUGAUGUCUUCGGACCAAAGAUUUAUCGCCUUUAGAUGGGCCCGCGUUGGAUUAGCUAGUUGGUGGGGUAAAGGCCUACCAAGGCGACGAUCCAUAGCUGGUCUGAGAGGAUGAUCAGCCACACUGGGACUGAGACACGGCCCAGACUCCUACGGGAGGCAGCAGUGGGGAAUAUUGGACAAUGGGCGAAAGCCUGAUCCAGCAAUGCCGCGUGAGUGAUGAAGGCCUUAGGGUUGUAAAGCUCUUUUACCCGAGAUGAUAAUGACAGUACCGGGAGAAUAAGCUCCGGCUAACUCCGUG
This 433-nucleotide ribosomal RNA is filed under the name uncultured bacterium. RNAcentral describes it as "partial 16S ribosomal RNA". It matches the Rfam family "Bacterial small subunit ribosomal RNA", at positions 29 to 507 of the family's 1533-position model. The record is from RNAcentral.